RNAcentral lists this long non-coding RNA (2502 nucleotides) under Homo sapiens (human). RNAcentral describes it as "ARRDC3 antisense RNA 1 (ARRDC3-AS1)". Lineage: Eukaryota; Metazoa; Chordata; Mammalia; Primates; Hominidae. The record is from RNAcentral.
GCUUUACACGCCCCAGCCGGCGACCGGUUCCAUCUGGCUCGGGCCACUCUGACACCUUUAGUUUCGGCAAGGGAUAUUGGGGUGGCGAAGGGGAGGCGGGGGCCCGAAGGCUUCGGAAAACGAUGGGGGAGGGGGCAGAGGAUACCCGUCGAAGCCCCCCCCUCCCCCAACAUUUCGAUAUUGGAAUCACUUUCCUUCUUCCUCGGGCCAGCCUUUGCUCUGUCCCCUCAGGUCAACUCAAGGUAGACAGUGUGGCGACUGGAGAGGUCGGGGAACAAGCUUUGUUUCAGCUAAGGGGAAAACAAGCGUUCACAGGAGUCCCCUGACACCUCCCACUCGGAAGAUAGCUAACGGGGGUCCUGCCAACCCUUCCCAUCCAACUUCCAUCUGAAAAGGAUUUUCUGCUAAAGUUGGGUCCAUGGCCAUCCAGCACCUGUAAGGCCGGCAGGAGCGUCUGCCCUCUACUCAGUUAAAGCCUGAAGUCGUUUCCUUUCGAUGGCCCUUAGGAGGCCCAAAAGAGGGGCGACAGAACAUGAUGUUGACACGGGCUGGGCGCCCCCAGAAGCCCGGGAACAAACGUUUCUACUUUCCAGGUCCACUGGUGUUUGGUGUACCCAUGUGACUAAUUUGUCCAAAGAGAGAAACUAGGAAUAUUCCAGUUGGUGACUGACCCCUUAGUUGGGUUCCUAGAGUGAGUUUGAUGUGGAGGAGCCCAAAAUGACCUGCAGUGAAGUUGGAGUGUGAGCAAGAAAUAAACUUUUGUUUUUUAAUUUUCUGAGGUUUUGGAAGUUGUAGAUUAUAACUGCAUAACCUAUCAAUAUUGAUAUGUUUCAAUUCUUAAUGAAAAUUUCUAAUAUUCUUUUUGAUUAUUUCUAACUUAUUAACUUAAAAUGUCAAAUAUCUAUAAUUUCAGUAUAUUCUGUAUCCUACAUUUAAAAAUAAAAAAUAGAAUGUUGAAAAUGAAAUCAUUUCAAUGAGAUGACAACUCAAAAUCUUAUAGUAUCAUCCAGAAACAUGUAGAACAGAUUUAAAAAUACACAGUACUGAGAUUGGCAGGUUGAGAAGAAGACACAUAUGAAGGGUAACUUCUUUGGAAAGAAGCAGCUAUGCACAGUACUUAAGAAUGAAAUUUCCAUGUCCCGUUAAUACAUCUGAAACAGUUUUACUUUCUAUCCCAAACUUUAAUGAUCCUAGAAAGCUGGUUUGAAUCAGUUUUUACAGGGUUGUUUUGGAUUUAAAAUAACUAAAACUUGAGAGCUGGGAGAAAUUUUAUUUAACACUUUUUUAUCAUUCAUGGUUUAAUGUUUAAUGAAUAAAUUCUUCACUAAGCUUAUGUGGUGAGGGUCUGGUGGUGAAAAGUACUUUUUCAACUAGAUAUAUUAGAAUGACAACAGCAAAGCAAGAAUGUGGUAGGGUCACAUAAAGGAGUCGUGAUCUGUGGGAAAUUAUUUUUUAUGAUUCUCCAAGAUGGCUGUACAUAUAAGCAUAAAAGUCAAUAAACAAGUGCCUAACCUUUAGCUCUAAAUUAACUUUUGAGCGCUUUGAAUGCCUGGCACAAAAAUAUUUAGGGGUUUGGCGCCAUCUGGUGGCCAAAUAUCAACUUUUCAGCUUCUCUUUUAUGACUAAGAAGUGAAUUACUCUGCACUUUCCAAUAAACACUAUUAAUAAAUAAAAUUAUUUAAAAUGUUGAUUUCCAGAACUUGAGAAGACAAAUCAAAGACAGAUUUCUGUUAUGUUACCUAUUGUUAUAUGACAGAAUUUCAGUCUUGAGUAGGUUCUUUUAUACUUGCAUUUGAUUUAUUUAUGAAAGCAUUAUAGACAUAAAUCUGCUAUCUUUUUCUUAAUACAAGAGAAGACUCUUUCCCCAAAAGAAAUUAGACGUGCUCAAUAAAAUCUAAAUUUAUUUUUUCACAAUUCUGUAAAAGAUUGAGCUAGGGGUGCGUGUGUGUGUGUGAAUAUCAGAAUUUAUUUUAAAAAUGCAAGAGGGAGAGGGGAAGGAGCUGGUAGUGACAUUGUUAAUUGUCUGCUUUGCAAUAGCAAAGACUUGGAACCAACCCAAAUGUCCAUCAAUGAUAGACUGGAUUAAGAAAAUAUGGCACAUAUACACCAUGGAAUACUAUACAGCCAUAAAAAAGGAUGAGUUCAUGUCUUUUGUAGGGACAUGGAUGAAGCCGGAAACCAUCAUUCUGAGAAAACUAUCGCAAGGACAGAAAACCAAACACUACAUGCUCUCACUCAUAGGUGGGAAUUGAACAAUGAGAACACUUGGACACAGGGUGGGGAACAUCACACACCGGGGCCUGUCGUGGGGUGGGGGAAGGUGGGAGGGAUAGCAUUAGGAGAUACACCUAAUGUAAAUGAUGAGUUAAUGGGUGCAGCACACCAACAUGUGCUGUUGUACACGUGUACACAUGUAUACAUAUGUAACAAACCUGCACGUUGUACACAUGUACCCUAGAACUUAAAGUAUAAUAAUAAUAAAAAAAAAUUGUCUGCUUUGUA